Long non-coding RNA from Suricata suricatta (meerkat), 2472 nucleotides. RefSeq lists it as uncharacterized. The record is from RefSeq and is a predicted model, not a curated record. The transcript has 9 exons. NCBI's taxonomy places the organism in Eukaryota, Metazoa, Chordata, Mammalia, Carnivora, Herpestidae.
CCUUUUGUACCCUGCUCCAGCUGAAAGUCAAGUCUGGUACAAACCAAUGGGGUUCUGCUGCAAGGAACUUGAGGGUAUUCUCGUCCUCGAUGUGUAGGAUGAACAGGCUCUGGCCAAUCUGGAGGUUUUCCUUUAAGUUGAUUCAGGAAUAAAGGACCAGACCAUAUGAAGGCUUCUGGGUAGCAUGGAAAGGCUUCAAUUUGUUCUUAGUGACUUGUCCUGUACUACACUCCCAGCUGGUUUGAAGGAAACCGCAGCCGUUACUAAGUUUGUCUGAUGCCCCCACCCAAAUACCACGCAUACCCAUACCGUCAUGUGCUCAUGCAAAGCAGCAUUUGUGAGCAGUCUCGACUCGGUUUCAGUCAUGGAUUUCACAAAAGGAACACUGUAAAAUUGAAUUUGAACUCCACAGCUCCCAGGAUAGGGCAGAGCUGGAUGGAAACAUCUGGAGACAUAUUCGGGAGUAGGGCUCACCGUGUUCCUUGAGAGGAAAUUGAGGCCGAAAAAUUGAGUGACACCCAGGCACUCAUCCAGCCAGUUGAUACAAGUCUAGAACCUUCUGCCUGCCUUCCGACUUCCAACCACUGCUCUUUCCAGCCCAGGCUGUCAUCACACGGUACAUUUUGCUUCCUCUUCAGAAUAUGGCCCCUCACAACCUUUCCAGGAACUGGACCUUCGGACCUAAAAAUGAUUUAAUGCACACUUUUCGGAAGGGAGAGCCACAAGGCCUCUAAGUGGUUUUGAUCAAGUUUGCCAACAUGUACACCGUUGGAUAAUCUGCAUAAACGUCAUAAAUAAUGUAAAUUCCUACCAAAUGAGUUAACCGUGAGCUACAGGGCUCUUUCGAAAAAUCCAUGUUAUGCCAUCCUCCUGACCAAGUUAACAACUCGAUGGAGCAGCGAAGGUCACCGCUGGUUGCAGUCCUGCUAUUGACCAUGCUAAGUGUGACUAUUUUUAAAAUACUGUAUGCCUCAUUAAGCCGUGCUCCGAAAAUGAGAAAUUUGCUUUAACUGCAUUGUUUUGAAUUGCUGAGAGAAGAAUCUAUCAGCCACAAGGUGCCCUGCUGCUGAACUCAGCCAAAAAGCUGUUAAUAACCCCAGCAGAUGUUUCAGCUUUUUAGGCCAAUAGACUCCCUCUCUCCCUGCCCUCCCCUUUCUAGAAUCUGAUGCCAAUAGGACUGAACUCCAGUUUCUGUGGCUGCUGCCGCUGUGGCCGCCACCACCAGAGUCCACUUGAUACUAGAGCUGCCGCCGAGGAAUUGAUUCUUUAAACAACCAGCCGUUGGCUCCAGGCCUCUGAGGUCAGAGCAUUAUUGCUUUUACCCACAGAAGUUUAAAUCUUCAGGGGGGGAAUGAAGGCAGAAUAUCCAAGACUCUGUGGACCUCUAUUGUCAGCUUCAGCGUUCGCCAACCUUAGUAUUUCAACCCCAAAGUCUCCGCUCUAUGCCAUGCAGGCUAUAAAAAACCAAGCACGACACUGAGAAUUCAACUCAAGGGUUCAAUGGCAUCGCUGUCUACUAAUUCUGAAAGCGGAAAGGGAUGAACAUAUCUGUACACGGAGAGGAACAGCCAAUGGAGAUGGGAGGAAAGUAAAGCACAUUUUCUCAGGAGGCAAGGUGGAAUGAUAUCCAUAGCACCAGCGGACAGAGUUGCCUUUGACAGGAAAAGUGCCUUUUGCCAGCGAGCAGUACUCAAGGAAUGUUUACAGCUAAGGAGGCUCCAUGGAGGAUUGCUUGAAGGACAUGAAGUCCAUCUGUCUCCCUAGAUGGUUUAGAUUAUAUCUCAAGGUCAAGAACAACUUCAAGCGUAGAAAAAUGGCUGGAAUAAAACAACAGCAGAUUGCGUUUUUGUGUGCUGAACUCGAAGCAGGAAUCUGGUGGGUGAUGUGUUGGAAGUCAAGCUGGAAAAGGGUCGCUUACAAAUAAAAUGCCGCGAAGGGCUACCGAAAAGGUUAAGAACCUUGUACUGAUGACAAAUGAUUGAACAGUUUUUGCAUGAGCAACAUCGUUCACUCUAGUCUGGAGUUUUACCAAGCUGGACUAAAAAUUCUGACUUCAGCGGGGCGCCCAGGAAGCUCAGUUGGUUAACUCUCCGACUUAGGCUCUGGUCACGAUCUCACGGUUGCAUGGCUGGCAAAGAACUCAGAACUCCAAGUGGCAGAUUCGAUCUUGAUUUUCACCUGCGAGUGCAUUAUUGGAUUUAUCUCAAUCUUUGAUUUCUUGGAAGGAAUCUUUUUAAGCCACUUGUUUUCCAAAUAAGAGAGCUAAUUGGGCAAAGCCAGAGAAGACACUUUAUGGAAGGUAUAUCAACACCCUGCUCCUGAAAGAACCGGGAGGGGGGGGUGCCACCUUCACCCCUCUGCCCCUGACUCUCCUGUAAGUGCUCCUCAGAUAGAGUACUUGGCAUGUGACUGCUUUCCUAGGCACCACGUAAGGUACCAGGGUAGACGAGUAUAAUAAACAUUUAGAACGCC